UAUUCUUAUUUAUGAGUAUGUGUGCAUGAG
This 30-nucleotide non-coding RNA is filed under the name Rattus norvegicus (Norway rat). Lineage: Eukaryota; Metazoa; Chordata; Mammalia; Rodentia; Muridae. The record is from RNAcentral.